GAUGAAGAACGCAGCGAAAUGCGAUAAGUAGUGUGAAUUGCAGAAUUCAGUGAAUCAUCGAGUUUUUGAACGCAUAUUGCGCCCUCUGGUAUUCCGGGGGGCAUGCCUGUUCGAGCGUCAUUAAAUAACCCUCAAGCAUAGCUUGGUGUUGGGCUUUUUUACGUCCUUGACUGGGAUGGGCCUAAAAAUUAGUGGCGAUGGCUUUUUUACUUUCAAGCGUAGUAAAUCUCGUCUUGCUAAAGAGGAAAAAGAUUUUUUUUCUGCCAAAAAUUUUAACAUUUAAAGUUGACCUCGGAUCAGGUAGGAUUACCCGCUGAACUUAAGCAUAUCAAUAGCGGAGGA
RNAcentral lists this unclassified non-coding RNA (342 nucleotides) under soil metagenome. Its description in RNAcentral is "partial contains 5.8S ribosomal RNA, internal transcribed spacer 2, and large subunit ribosomal RNA". The stretch from base 1 to 120 matches the Rfam family "5.8S ribosomal RNA", at positions 35 to 154 of the family's 154-position model. The record is from RNAcentral.